UACGUAGGGAGCAAGCGUUAUCCGGAUUUACUGGGCGUAAAGCGCACGCAGGUGGUUUUGUAAGUUGGUCAUGAAAGCUCCCGGCUCAACUGGGAGAGGCUGUCCAAAACUGCAAAGCUUGAGAAUGAUAGAGGAAAGCGGAAUUCCCGGUGUAGUGGUGAAAUGCGUAGAUAUCGGGAGGAACACCAGUGGCGAAAGCGGCUUUCUGGGUCAUUUCUGACGCUCAUGUGCGAAAGCCAGGGUAGAGAACGGG
This 253-nucleotide ribosomal RNA is filed under the name uncultured bacterium. RNAcentral describes it as "partial 16S ribosomal RNA". It matches the Rfam family "Bacterial small subunit ribosomal RNA", at positions 524 to 776 of the family's 1533-position model. The record is from RNAcentral.